RNAcentral lists this long non-coding RNA (1071 nucleotides) under Marmota monax (woodchuck). The record is from RNAcentral. Lineage: Eukaryota; Metazoa; Chordata; Mammalia; Rodentia; Sciuridae.
CUCAGCCCCUAAUUGGAAUUUCUAUUCCAGUUUACCUUAAAUAUGAAAAUUUAAUCUAGGACAAAUUGAAAUUUUGUCAGUAUUCAAUAUUUUUCUUAUCGCAGAAGUCAGCAUUUCAAGACAAGUGUUUUUCUUCCAGCUAAAUUAAGAUCUGUCUUUUUCUACAAAUAAAUCAUUUCUAUUUCUUGACAGUGCUGCUUUCUUCGUACUUAAGUGUUUUAUAAACUUUAUAAAUUGGGUCUUUUCGUGGCGUUUUCUAAUGUAUUGUUUCACUACAUUUUUAGCCAUUCAUUCUGACUUCUGUUGCUCUUUCAAUCCUUUUUAAACUUUAGGGUUUUUUACAUAUUCAAACAUAUAUAAACAGUGAUUCAUUUUCCUGCUCCAUUCCGAGACUCCUGCUCUGCGUUAAUGUCUUCCCGCCUGCUGUGGAGCCAGAACUGUUGAGCACAGUGGGCAGCAAUACUGGGAAGGGCGAGGGAGCUUGCCUAGAAGCCCUGGGUUCUAUCCCCAGCACAAUUACAAAGAAGAGUGAGGAAAAUAGGUCAGGGGGGAGGAAGGGAGGAAAACUGCUUAGCAAAGCACCUGUUGCAUCUCAAGUGCCACCCCUGUGAAUGACAUUGGCUCAUUUCAUAGAGAAAUGCAUCUUUGGAUUCCAAGCUGUUUUAAAACCUCAGAACUGGAGUUCAGUCUUACCAAGUGCCUGCCAGCCUUUGUGGUGAUUGUGUCAUGCUUUCAUUUCCUUCUUUUGACUAUUGAUAUGAGACAUUGUUAUUGAUCAGAACACCUUCACAUUCUUGAAACCAGCCAUGACUUUGGAUGGCAGCGCCUUCAUAUACAGGCUUCUACUGAGUCUCAUAAAAAUUCUGUAAGAGUCACGUGUGGUGGGGCUCACCUGUCAUUCCAACCACUCGGAAGGCUGAGACAGGAGGAUCACAAGUUUGAGGCCAACCUGGGCAGUGAGACCCUGUCUCAAAGUAAAAACUAAAAAGAGCUGAGAACAUAGUGCAUUGGUAGAAUGACCCUGGGUUCAAUCCUCAGUACCAAAAGAAAAGAGAAGAAAAAUUUUCAAAA